Molecule: non-coding RNA, 78 nt
Organism: Danio rerio (zebrafish)
Lineage: Eukaryota; Metazoa; Chordata; Actinopteri; Cypriniformes; Danionidae
Source: Rfam
CAAUGUGAGAAAGGUCCAACCUCACAUGUCCUGUGAGGCUGAAGGAAGGCUGUGUGAGGUUAGACCUAUCCCACACGG